UACGAGGGGGGCGAGCGUUGUUCGGAAUUAUUGGGCGUAAAGGGCGCGUAGGCGGUGCGGUAAGUCACCUGUGAAAUCUCCGGGCUCAACUCGGAGCCUGCAGGCGAAACUGCCGUGCUAGAGGGUGGGAGAGGUGCGUGGAAUUCCCGGUGUAGCGGUGAAAUGCGUAGAGAUCGGGAGGAAGGCCGGUGGCGAAGGCGGCGCUCUGGAACGUUUCUGACGCUGAGGCUCGAAAGCGUGGGGAGCAAACAGG
Molecule: ribosomal RNA, 253 nt
Filed under: uncultured bacterium
Lineage: Bacteria
Description: partial 16S ribosomal RNA
Rfam family: Bacterial small subunit ribosomal RNA
Source: RNAcentral